RNAcentral lists this ribosomal RNA (137 nucleotides) under uncultured bacterium. Its description in RNAcentral is "partial 16S ribosomal RNA". It matches the Rfam family "Bacterial small subunit ribosomal RNA", at positions 355 to 509 of the family's 1533-position model. The record is from RNAcentral.
UGGGGAAUAUUGCACAAUGGGGGAAACCCUGAUGCAGCGACGCCGCGUGAAGGAUGAAGUAUUUCGGUAUGUAAACUUCUAUCAGCAGGGAAGAAAAUGACGGUACCUGACUAAGAAGCCCGGCUAACUACGUCGCC